AUUCCAGCUCCAAUAGCGUAUAUUAAAGUUGUUGCAGUUAAAAAGCUCGUAGUUGGAUUCCUGGUUAGAGCGGCCGGUCUGGUCCGAAUGGGCUAGUACUUUGAGCUGUCUUUGACCUUCCUUUGGGAGAAUCUGUGUUGUUAUUAAUUUAGCAGUGCAGGGGACCCCAAUCGUUUACUGUGAAAAAAUUAGAGUGUUUAAAGCAGGCAUUUGCUGUGAAUACAUUAGCAUGGAAUAAUAAGAUAGGACUUUGGUGCUAUUUUGUUGGUUUGCACACCAAGGUAAUGAUUAACAGGGACAGUUGGGGGUAUUCGUAUUUAAUUGUCAGAGGUGAAAUUCAUGGAUUUAUGAAAGACGAACUACUGCGGAAGCAUUUACCAAGGAUGUUUUCAUUA
RNAcentral lists this ribosomal RNA (395 nucleotides) under Labyrinthulaceae sp. Its description in RNAcentral is "partial small subunit ribosomal RNA". It matches the Rfam family "Eukaryotic small subunit ribosomal RNA", at positions 582 to 975 of the family's 1831-position model. Lineage: Eukaryota; Bigyra; Labyrinthulida; Labyrinthulaceae. The record is from RNAcentral.